Molecule: ribosomal RNA, 483 nt
Filed under: uncultured bacterium
Lineage: Bacteria
Description: partial 16S ribosomal RNA
Rfam family: Bacterial small subunit ribosomal RNA
Source: RNAcentral
UUGCACGCUGGCGGCCGGCCUCACACCUGCAAGUCGAGCGGAUGAAGGGAGCUUGCUCCUGGAUUCAGCGGCGGACGGGUGAGUAAUGCCUAGGAAUCUGCCUGGUAGUGGGGGAUAACGUCCGGAAACGGGCGCUAAUACCGCAUACGUCCUGAGGGAGAAAGUGGGGGAUCUUCGGACCUCACGCUAUCAGAUGAGCCUAGGUCGGAUUAGCUAGUUGGUGGGGUAAAGGCCUACCAAGGCGACGAUCCGUAACUGGUCUGAGAGGAUGAUCAGUCACACUGGAACUGAGACACGGUCCAGACUCCUACGGGAGGCAGCAGUGGGGAAUAUUGGGCAAUGGGCGAAAGCCUGAUCCAGCCAUGCCGCGUGUGUGAAGAAGGUCUUCGGAUUGUAAAGCACUUUAAGUUGGGAGGAAGGGCAGUAAGUUAAUACCUUGCUGUUUUGACGUUACCAACAGAAUAAGCACCGGCUAACUUCGUG